UUCUUCACUUUCAAAUCACGAAGCUUGCUUUCAUUUACAAGUUUAUGUUGUUCUAGUGUUGCGUUUGGUGGAGCAAUGAUGACGCCAUAUUCAAUAAGAUUCCAAUAUUCUUUGGAGCGAAGAAGAUUCUCCAUUAACAUAGACCAAUGAUUGUAGAAACCAUCGAACUUAGGAAUUGCAGGUUGAAGAAACGAGGAUGAUUUAGUCAUUGUUGAAACCGUAGGGAAGAAAUGCUUGAAAAACUAAGGAUGAAGAUCAUUGUUGUCACAGUAACAGACAAGUAUCGCCGCCAUAACUAACUUUCUCCAUCAUAACAAAUUGUUCCCCCCCCCCCCCAAAUGAAAUUGUGUUUCUCUAAAAAUCAGGACGCCCUUAGGCUCCUGAUACCACUUGUAGAAAAUGGGAAAACUCUCAUUAUUAUUUCACUAAGUGUUUGA
This 437-nucleotide long non-coding RNA is filed under the name Medicago truncatula (barrel medic). Its description in RNAcentral is "lncRNA gene13856". The record is from RNAcentral. Lineage: Eukaryota; Viridiplantae; Streptophyta; Magnoliopsida; Fabales; Fabaceae.